GACGAACCGAGCGAACGUUGUUCGGAAUCACUGGGCUUAAAGGGCGCGUAGGCGGGCCACCAGGUCCGCGGUGAAAUCCCCCGGCUCAACCGGGGAAGGGCCGCGGAUACCGGGGGCCUCGAGGCGGGUAGGGGCGUGCGGAACACUGGGUGGAGCGGUGAAAUGCGUUGAUAUCCAGUGGAACUCCGGUGGCGAAGGCGGCACGCUGGACCCGGACUGACGCUGAGGCGCGAAAGCCAGGGGAGCGAACGGG
Molecule: ribosomal RNA, 253 nt
Filed under: uncultured bacterium
Lineage: Bacteria
Description: partial 16S ribosomal RNA
Rfam family: Bacterial small subunit ribosomal RNA
Source: RNAcentral